Molecule: ribosomal RNA, 427 nt
Filed under: uncultured bacterium
Lineage: Bacteria
Description: partial 16S ribosomal RNA
Rfam family: Bacterial small subunit ribosomal RNA
Source: RNAcentral
UGGGGAAUAUUGGACAAUGGGCGAAAGCCUGAUCCAGCCAUGCCGCGUGUGUGAAGAAGGUCUUCGGAUUGUAAAGCACUUUAAGUUGGGAGGAAGGGCAUUAACCUAAUACGUUAGUGUUUUGACGUUACCGACAGAAUAAGCACCGGCUAACUCUGUGCCAGCAGCCGCGGUAAUACAGAGGGUGCAAGCGUUAAUCGGAAUUACUGGGCGUAAAGCGCGCGUAGGUGGUUAGUUAAGUUGGAUGUGAAAUCCCCGGGCUCAACCUGGGAACUGCAUUCAAAACUGACUGACUAGAGUAUGGUAGAGGGUGGUGGAAUUUCCUGUGUAGCGGUGAAAUGCGUAGAUAUAGGAAGGAACACCAGUGGCGAAGGCGACCACCUGGACUAAUACUGACACUGAGGUGCGAAAGCGUGGGGAGCAAACA